This 74-nucleotide transfer RNA is filed under the name Candidatus Bathyarchaeota archaeon. RNAcentral describes it as "tRNA-Tyr". It matches the Rfam family "tRNA". From Rfam's summary of the family: Transfer RNA (tRNA) molecules are approximately 80 nucleotides in length. Their secondary structure includes four short double-helical elements and three loops (D, anti-codon, and T loops). RNAcentral also lists the same sequence under 1 other name. The record is from RNAcentral. Lineage: Archaea; Thermoproteati; Candidatus Bathyarchaeota.
CCCGCGGUAGCUCAGCCUGGAAGAGCUUCCGGCUGUAGACCGGAGCGUCCCCGGUUCAAAUCCGGGCCGCGGGA